AUGGCGUCUCCUGCUUCUGUUACCAACCUGGGGAGCAACGGAAGGCCUGGCCCACUGCCGACAGCGGCAGUGAGGAGAGGGCACUUGGUUUCAAGGAUCAGUUUCACGGGUUUUGACGGUGUCCGGAGGUGGCCAUGUGCACCUGGAAGACUAUGUAGAUGUAUGGUCAUAACUAACUUGAUCGAUGAGAAGGGAGCUCAGUUCUCAUCAAGAGUAAGUGUGAGCGUUAAAGCUGAUGAUGACAGUGAUCUUCUUUCAAAGCCCCCGCAGAGGCCAGUCCGGCUGAAUGGGCCACCCGCAAGCAUGGAUACAGCAACAACAUCAGCACCUGCCAGGAAGCCAGCAGGCGUAACAUUGCAAGACCGAGAGAAGGUCCGAGAGUCAUUGGAUGAGGUGUUGGAGAAGGCAGAGAAACUUGAGGCCUCGAGCUCCAGAAAUGUGGAUGGUGAGAACCGUGCAUUGAGACAGAUUGAUGUGGCAAAGCCUAAUAGUUCAGUGCCAAUAGUGGUGGAGGAAGGCUCGAAUUCCAAAAGGACAAAAACACUAAAGAGUGUAUGGAGAAAGGGGAACCCUGUGCCCACUGUACAUAAGGUGAUUAGAGAUCGUCCACACACUGAAACUAGGGAUCAGUCCAUAUCUGCUGCUGAACCUUCAGUGUCAUCUCCAUCAAAACUAGCACCUCACCUACAAACAAGACCUUCUGUAGCACCACCACCUCGUCGCCCUGUCAAAGCUGACACAUCAAAGGAGAAAAAAGGACCCAUCCUGAUCGACAAAUUUGCUUCCAAGAGACCAAUGGUUGAUCCAGCUGUAGCUGAGGCACUGGUAGACCCUGUCAAGCCAGUACGCGGUCCACCAGCCAAAGCGAAGGAUAAUCGUCAUAAAAAAAUUAUUACACCAGCUGGUCCCCGCCGACGUAUGUCAAAUGAUGAUCGAUCAGUUGAUGACGACGCUCCAGUGCGCAAGGGAAGGAGGUGGAGCAAGGCAAAACGUAGGGCUGCCAGGCUUGAGGCUUUAGAAGCUGAAGAGCCUGUUAGGGUUGAGAUCCUUGAAGUUGGUGAAGAAGGUAUGGAUAUUGACGAACUAGCAUAUCAACUGGCAGUUGGCGAAUCAGAAAUUCUGCACUUUUUAUCAGUGAGAGGAGCAAUGCUUGACAAUGUUCAGACUCUUGAUAAAGAUUUGGUUAAGAUGGUUUGCAUGGAAUAUGAAGUUGAAGUACUGGAAAGUGGUCCGGUGAGAGUGGAAGAGAUGGCAAAGAAGAAUGAGUUCCUUGAUGAGGAGGAUUUGGAUAAACUGGAAGUAAGGCCUCCCAUUGUAACUAUCAUGGGUCAUGUUGAUCAUGGGAAGACUACUCUUUUGGAUUAUAUACGCAAGAGCAAGGUGGUGGCAUCUGAAGCUGGUGGAAUAACACAAGGAAUUGGAGCAUAUCAGGUUCUUGUGCCAGUUGAUGGAAACCCUCAGGCUUGUGUUUUUCUUGAUACUCCAGGGCAUGAGGCGUUUGGUGCAAUGAGAGCUCGAGGAGCAAAGGUAACUGAUAUCUGUAUCAUUGUUGUGUCUGCGGAUGAUGGCGUUCAGCCACAAACAAAUGAGGCAAUUGCGCAUGCAAAGGCAGCCAGAGUCCCUGUUGUAAUAGCUAUAAAUAAGGUGGACAAGGAGGGAGCUAAUCCAGAACGAGUCAUGCAAGAGCUUUCCCAGAUAGGACUUAUGCCAGAGAUGUGGGGUGGUGACACCCCGAUGGUUCAGAUAAGUGCUCUUAAGGGAGAGAAUGUUGAUGAGCUAUUAGAGACUGUCAUGCUUGUUGCUGAGUUGCUAGAAUUAAAAGCCAAUCCUCAUAGAAAUGCAAAGGGUACGGUUAUUGAAGCAUGUCUUGACAAGGCUAAAGGACCUCUUGCCACCCUAGUUGUACAGAAUGGAACCUUGAAUAAGGGCGAUAUUCUUGUUUGUGGUGAAGCUUUUGGAAAGAUCCGUGCAAUGUAUGAUGAUCGUGGAAGCCUUGUAGACCAAGCAGCGCCAUCCAACGCCGUGCAGAUUAUUGGCUUGAACAAUGUACCCCUUGCUGGUGACGAAUUUGAGUCUGUUGAUGACCUUGAUGUUGCACGCGAAAGGGCAAACGCGCGAGCCGAUGCAAUGAGAAUUGAAAGGAUAAAUGCGAAAGCUGGGGAAGGAAAAGUCACUCUCUCAUCCAUUGCAGCUUCCAUUUCAUCUGGGAAUCAAGUAGGGAUUGAUACUCAUGGGUUAAAUAUCAUACUUAAAGUUGAUUUUCAGGGUUCAAUUGAGGCAAUUAGGCAAGCCAUUCAAGCACUGCCUCAAGAAAAUGUCUCUUUGAGAUUCCUACUUCAAGCUCCAGGAGACGUGAGCCUCAGUGAUGUUGAUCUGGCUGUUGCUUCGGAAGGAAUUGUAUUUGGUUUUAAUGUCAAAGCUCCGGGGUCAGUUAAGAAAUAUGCUAAGCAGAAAAGUGUAGAGAUUCGAUUGUACAAAGUGAUCUAUGAUUUGAUAGAUGAUUUACGCAAUGCCAUGGAAGGGCUUCUUGACCUUGCUGAGGAGGAGGUACCACUCGGUUCAGCCAAAGUUCGAGCUGUUUUCAGUAGUGGCAGUGGAAAGGCAGCGGGUUGCAUGGUUACUACAGGGAAAGUUGUGGAAGGCUGCAAUGUUCGGGUUCUUCGUAAAGGAAAAGAAGUUUAUGUGGGUACACUUGAUUCCUUGAGACGGGUGAAAGAAACUGUGAAGGAGGUUGGUGCGGGGCUAGAAUGUGGUAUUGGGGUAGAUGACUUCGACGAUUGGGAGGAAGGUGACGUCCUUGAGGCAUUCAACACCGUGAAAAAGGCUAGAACGCUCGAGGAAGCCUCUGCGACUGUGACUGCUGCUCUCAAGGGUGCAGGCGUCCAGGUGUAG
Molecule: ribosomal RNA, 2892 nt
Filed under: Triticum aestivum (bread wheat)
Lineage: Eukaryota; Viridiplantae; Streptophyta; Magnoliopsida; Poales; Poaceae
Description: partial small subunit ribosomal RNA
Source: RNAcentral